This 405-nucleotide ribosomal RNA is filed under the name uncultured bacterium. RNAcentral describes it as "partial 16S ribosomal RNA". It matches the Rfam family "Bacterial small subunit ribosomal RNA", at positions 30 to 526 of the family's 1533-position model. The record is from RNAcentral.
AUUGAACGCUGGCGGCAGGCUUAACACAUGCAAGUCGAACGAGUGGCGGACGGGUGAGUAAUUCUUUGGUAUCUUGCUUAUGGAGGGGGAUAACUACGGGAAACUGUAGCUAAUACCGCGUACCAUAGGUUGAGCCCACGUGGGUUUAGGUAGUUGGUGAGGUAAAGGCUCACCAAGACGACGAUCUCUAGCUGGUCUGAGAGGAUGACCGGCCACACUGGAACGGGUACACGGCCCAGACGCCUACGGGAGGCAGCAGUGGGGAAUAUUGCGCAAUGGGGGCAACCUGACGCAGCCAUGCCGCGUGAAUGAAGAAGGCCUUCGGGUUGUAAAGUUCUUUCGGUAGCGAGGCGUUAACUAAAGAAGAAGCAACGGCUAACUCCGUGCCAGCAGCCGCGGUAAUAG